Molecule: ribosomal RNA, 497 nt
Filed under: uncultured bacterium
Lineage: Bacteria
Description: partial 16S ribosomal RNA
Rfam family: Bacterial small subunit ribosomal RNA
Source: RNAcentral
GAUGAACGCUGGCGGCGUGCCUAAUACAUGCAAGUCGAGCGAACGGACGAGAAGCUUGCUUCUCUGAUGUUAGAGGCGGAAGGGAGAGUAACACGAGGAUAACCUACCUAUAAGACUGGGAUAACUUCGUGAAACCGUAGCUAAUAACGGAUAAUAUUUUGAACCGCAUGGUUCAAAAGUGAAAGACGGUCUUGCUGUCACUUAUAGAUGGAUCCGCGCUGCAUGAGCUAGUUGGUAAGGUAACGGCUUACCAAGGCAACGAGGCAUAGCCGACCUGAGAGGGGGAUCGGCCACACUGGAACUGAGACACGGUCCAGACGCCUACGGGAGGCAGCAGUAGGGAAUCUUCCGCAAUGGGCGAAAGCCUGACGGAGCAACGCCGCGUGAGUGAUGAAGGUCUUCGGAUCGUAAAACUCUGUUAUUAGGGAAGAACAUAUGUGUAAGUAACUGUGCACAUCUUGACGGUACCUAAUCAGAAAGCCACGGCUAACUACGUG